UUUGACGUGGAAGAAGUCUUAGAUUCAAGGCAGUGUCGUAUUAUGUGGCGUUUGGCUUGAAAAUGCAUUGGACACUUAGCUGUGGAAGUUAAAAGUGAAAUUGCAACAAGUCUUAAGAACUCUAAUUGAUUUGUAAAUAAAUUAUAAUUAAAGAUUAGAAAAUAUAAUAAAAUACUAAUUAAAUUCAAUCAAAAUUUAGAAGGAAUUAUGUAAGUAAUAGAAAGUAUUUCUAGAGAUCCUUUAAAGAAUCAUAAAGAAAUAACAUAGAAAUUCAAAAAUAUACUAAAAUAGAAAUCUUAAUAAAAUAUUAAAAUAGAAAUCUUAAUUAAAUUCUAAUCAAAAUCUAAUAAAAUUCUAAUCAAAUCCUAAUCAAAUUCUAAUUAAAUUCUAAAUAAAACCUAGUCAAAUCCUAAACAAACCUUAACCAAAUUUUAGUCAAAUUCUAAAAAAAUUCUAACCAAAUCCUAACCAAAUUCUAAAAAAAUUCUAAAUAAAUCCUAAUCAAAUUCUAAAUAAAUCUUGAUCAAAUCCUAAACAAAUCCUAAAAAAAUCUUAAUCAAAUCCUAACCAAAUUAUAAAUAAAUCCUAAUAAAAUCCUAAAUAAAUUCUAAUCAAAUCCUAAACAAAUCCUAAACAAAUCCUAAUCAAAUCCUAAAUAUAUCCUAAUAAAAUCAUAAACAAAUCUUAAAUUAAUUCUAAUUAAAUCCUAAAUAAUCCUAAUCAAACUCUAAUUGAUCCCUAAACAUACUCUAAUCAAAUUCUAAAUAAUCUCAAAUAAUUCCUAUAGCAAUUUUAAACCUCAUUAACUAAUGAAUGAACCAUUGAUUUUAACUAAAAUUUUACAUACCUCUUAAAAAUUAAAUUCAAAACAAGCACAAAUUUUUUGAAAAAGAUCAAACUCACUAAAAAGAAGAUCAAUCCUAAUAUUUGCUCGGAUAUUGGCUGGCCUC
This 950-nucleotide long non-coding RNA is filed under the name Physcomitrium patens. RNAcentral describes it as "long non-coding RNA (PPAT_LNC013061)". The record is from RNAcentral. Lineage: Eukaryota; Viridiplantae; Streptophyta; Bryopsida; Funariales; Funariaceae.